CGUAAGAAAAACAUAGUGAAUGUGGUAUGGCUUUUCUUAUUAUUAACAAGCAUUUAGGACCCAAGCUAUGACCCAAGCUAAGUACGAUAUUAUUCUUUUGAUGACUGCAUAAACAACUAUUAUGCGCACAUCAUUGAAAUACAAUAAUCAAUUAUAAUAAUAACGAAUUCUUUGAAAAUAACACUAGUUAGUACUUUAUUCAUUUUUAAAAU
This 212-nucleotide long non-coding RNA is filed under the name Mytilus galloprovincialis (Mediterranean mussel). The record is from RNAcentral. Lineage: Eukaryota; Metazoa; Mollusca; Bivalvia; Mytilida; Mytilidae.